Terrimicrobium sacchariphilum is the source of this 116-nucleotide non-coding RNA. NCBI's taxonomy places the organism in Bacteria, Pseudomonadati, Verrucomicrobiota, Terrimicrobiia, Terrimicrobiales, Terrimicrobiaceae. The record is from Rfam.
UCUGGUGAUCCUGGCGUGAUGGUCCCACCCGUUCCCAUCUCGAACACGGAAGUGAAACGUCACAGCUCCGAUGGUAGUGCUUGUAUAGCUUGCGCGAGAGUAGGUCGUUGCCAGAG